Small nuclear RNA from Schistocerca cancellata (South American locust), 106 nucleotides. The record is from RefSeq and is a predicted model, not a curated record. NCBI's taxonomy places the organism in Eukaryota, Metazoa, Arthropoda, Insecta, Orthoptera, Acrididae.
GUACUCGCUUCGGCAGGUUCAUAUACUAAAAUUGGAACGAUACAGAGAAGAUUAGCAUGCCUCCUGCACAAGGGUGACACAAAAAAAGAAGAAGAAAAAAGUUGGU